CCUACGGGUGGCUGCAGUGAGGAAUAUUGGUCAAUGGACGAGAGUCUGAACCAGCCAAGUAGCGUGAAGGAUGACUGCCCUAUGGGUUGUAAACUUCUUUUAUAUGGGAAUAAAAUGUUCCACGUGUGGGAUUUUGUAUGUACCAUAUGAAUAAGGAUCGGCUAACUCCGUGCCAGCAGCCGCGGUAAUACGGAGGAUCCGAGCGUUAUCCGGAUUUAUUGGGUUUAAAGGGAGCGUAGGUGGAUUGUUAAGUCAGUUGUGAAAGUUUGCGGCUCAACCGUAAAAUUGCAUUUGAAACUGGCAGUCUUGAGUACAGUAGAGGUGGGCAGAAUUCGUGGUGGAGCGGUGAAAUGCUUAGAUAUCACGAAGAACUCCGAUUGCGAAGGCAGUUCACUGGACUGCAACUGACACUGAGGCUCGAAAGUGUGGGUAUCAAACAGGAUUAGAUACCCGUGUAGUC
RNAcentral lists this ribosomal RNA (460 nucleotides) under uncultured bacterium. Its description in RNAcentral is "partial 16S ribosomal RNA". It matches the Rfam family "Bacterial small subunit ribosomal RNA", at positions 338 to 795 of the family's 1533-position model. The record is from RNAcentral.